AUGAAAAUAAAGUGUCUGCAAGAGGAGUUAAAGAAGGUGAAGGACCUGGAUUUUAAGAAAUCAGUGAUAAUUUACAAAAAAACAACAUCAAUUUCAAAUCUGUUGUCGGAGAGACAGAAGUUCCACCAUGAGAAAAAGGAGCUCGUACGAGUCAGUCUCCAGUUGCAAGGAGAGAAACAGCAACUCAGCGAACAAUUUGAGGAAGAACUGAGCAGGUGAGAAACGUUCAGAUAGCAGCCUUGACUUUCCCCUCCAGAAUUUCAAAUUAAAUUCUCUUUAGCUCCCUCCCGUAGACACAUGUCAUAAAAUGUACAGGUAGUCCUCGACUUGCAACAGUUCAUUUAGUGACCAUUCAGUUACAAAGGCACUUUAAAAAAAGUGACUAUUAUAGUUUUUCACAUGACUAUUAAUGUGAAAGUGUGAAAAAGUGUGGUUGCGUGAUUAAAAUUCAGGUGCUUGGCAACUGACUCAUAUUUUUUGACGGUUGCAGUGUCCUGGCCUUGCUUGUAUGACCUUCUGGCAAGAAAAGUCAAUGGGGAAGCCAGAUUCACUUAACAACCGGGUCAAUAACUUAUCAAUUGCAGCGAUUCACUUAAGUGAAGCAGAAAAGGGUCACAAAAUGGGGCAAAAUACAUAAAUGUCUCACUAAACAGAAAUUUUUGGGCUCAAUGGUGGUCAUAAGUGGAGAACUACCUGUAAAUCACUACAUUUAUUAUGUGAGUCUGGCAGUCACUAAAUGAAUCUUGCUUCUCCCAUUGACUUUGCUUGUCAGAAGGUCGCAAUGGGCAAUCACAAGACCCAGAUACCGUAACCCUUUAUAAAUACCUGUUUUUAAAACCAUAGUUAUUAAUUUAACAACUGCAGUGAUUCACUUAUCAGCAAGAAAGUUCAAAAAGGGGGGGGGGGGACUCACUUAACAAAUGUCUCACUUGGCAACAGAAAUGUUGGGCUCAAUUAUGGUCAUAAGUUGAGAACUACCUGUACCAUAGUUUGCUUUAUGGCAGUCAUUUAUAGCCUGAUAUCUAGAUUAAACGCCAAGCCAAACUGUAUGACAGACUAUCAGGAGAUGAUUUUAAUGUCUCAAAUAAUUCCUACUGAAAUAAAUUAGAUUUUAAAAAAAAUUCA
This 1125-nucleotide long non-coding RNA is filed under the name Notechis scutatus (mainland tiger snake). RNAcentral's name for it is "lncRNA (ENSNSUG00000007369.1)". Lineage: Eukaryota; Metazoa; Chordata; Lepidosauria; Squamata; Elapidae. The record is from RNAcentral.